UGGACGUGGAAGAUAGGCUUCAUAUCCCUCAGAGUUCUCUGCAGAGAACUGGACUGUGAGGGAGGGGUCCAACCUGGGGCGCCAGACCAUCGAGCUGAUCCCCAUCACAGAAGUUCAUUACUGGUAUCAAGGAAAGACUUCUGUCUACUACAUCUAUGGCACCGACCACCAAGUGUACGUGGCUGACUACCCUGAGCGAUACUGCUGUGGAUGCACCAUCCUCUGAUAGGCACAGCUGUCCCCAGACUCCAAUGGUCACAUUUGACAAGGGGACAGCAGUACUCUUUGAGUUUAGUUGUGUUGGUGAUGUUGGACAACCCCCCAUGCAAAUCUUGGAAGUCUUUCUGAACAAGCUAAUGAUCUAUCAAGAGUCAAUUAUUGAUGGAGCUCGUUUGGUGAGACCUAUGUUUAACUCACAAGAAUUCUCCUAACCAAGUUCCUCUAGAGUAAAGGUGAGAUGCAAGAUAAA
RNAcentral lists this long non-coding RNA (469 nucleotides) under Rattus norvegicus (Norway rat). RNAcentral describes it as "long non-coding RNA NONRATT021689". The record is from RNAcentral. Lineage: Eukaryota; Metazoa; Chordata; Mammalia; Rodentia; Muridae.